Molecule: ribosomal RNA, 440 nt
Filed under: uncultured bacterium
Lineage: Bacteria
Description: partial 16S ribosomal RNA
Rfam family: Bacterial small subunit ribosomal RNA
Source: RNAcentral
CCUACGGGAGGCAGCAGUGGGGAAUAUUGCACAAUGGGGGAAACCCUGAUGCAGCGACGCCGCGUGAGUGAAGAAGUAUUUCGGUAUGUAAAGCUCUAUCAGCAGGGAAGAAAAUGACGGUACCUGAUUAAGAAGCCCCGGCUAACUACGUGCCAGAAGCUGCGGUAAUACGUUGGGGGCAAGCGUUCUCCGGAUUGACUGGGUGUAAAGGUAGCGUAGACGGCAGCACAAGUGUGGAAUGAAAUGCCGGGGCUUAACCCCGGAACUGCUUUGGAAACUGUGCAGCUAGAGUGCAGGAGAGGUAAGUGGAAUUCCUAGUGAAGCGGUGGAAUGCGUAGAUAUUAGGAGGAACACCAGUGGCGAAGGCGGCUUACUGGACUGUAACUGACGUUGAGGAUCGAAAGCGUGGGGAGCAAACAGGAUUAGAUACCCGUGUAGUC